UGAACGCUGGCGGCGUGCUUAACACAUGCAAGUCGAACGAUGAACCUAGCUUGCUAGGGGAUUAGUGGCGCACGGGUGAGUAAUUUAUAGAUAACGUGCCUCCGAGACCGGGAUAGCCAUUGGAAACGAUGAUUAAUACUGGAUACUCCUUCUGGAUCUAAUUUCAGUCGGGAAAGUUUUUCGCUCGGAGAUCGGUCUAUAUCCCAUCAGUUAGUUGGUAAGGUAACGGCUUACCAAGACAAUGACGGGUAGCGGGUUUGAGAGGAUGAUCCGCCACACUGGUACUGAGACACGGACCAGACUCCUACGGGAGGCAGCAGUGAGGAAUAUUGCACAAUGGGCGAAAGCCUGAUGCAGCAACGCCGCGUGGAGGAUGACGCAUUUCGGUGUGUAAACUCCUUUUAUAUGUCAAGAAAAUGACGGUAGCAUAUGAAUAAGCACCGGCUAACUCC
RNAcentral lists this ribosomal RNA (452 nucleotides) under uncultured bacterium. Its description in RNAcentral is "bacterial SSU rRNA". It matches the Rfam family "Bacterial small subunit ribosomal RNA", at positions 30 to 504 of the family's 1533-position model. The record is from RNAcentral.